GUCCUGGUGAUUCAUAGUAACCGAACGGAUCGCAGUUGGCUUCGGCCCGCGAUGGAUCUUUCAAGUUUCUGACCUAUCAGCUUUCGACGGUAGGGUAUUGGCCUACCGUGGCAGUGACGGGUAACGGGGAAUUAGGGUUCGAUUCCGGAGAGGGAGCCUGAGAAACGGCUACCACAUCUAAGGAAGGCAGCAGGCGCGCAAAUUACCCAAUGAAAACAGUUUCGAGGUAGUGACGAGAAAUAACAAUACAGGGCAUUUUAUGCUCUGUAAUUGGAAUGAUGGGAAUGUAAAACCCUUUCAGAGUAACAAUUGGAGGGCAAGUCUGGUGCCAGCAGCCGCGGUAAUUCCAGCUCCAAUAGUGUAUAUUAGAGUUGUUGCAGUUAAAAAGCUCGUAGUUGGAUUUCUGUCGUGGUCAUCCGGUUCCGCCUGUAUGGGUGUGCACCUGGUUUGCCCUCGGCUUUCUUCCGGUAGCCUUCCGCGCUUCACUGCGUGUGUUGGUGUUCCGGAACUUUUACUUUGAGAAAAAUAGAGUGUUUCAAGCAGGCUUGUCGCCCUGAAUACUUCAGCAUGGAAUAAUAA
Molecule: ribosomal RNA, 579 nt
Filed under: Eimeria sp.
Lineage: Eukaryota; Apicomplexa; Conoidasida; Eucoccidiorida; Eimeriidae
Description: SSU rRNA
Rfam family: Eukaryotic small subunit ribosomal RNA
Source: RNAcentral